This is a long non-coding RNA of Acinonyx jubatus (cheetah), 1461 nucleotides long. RefSeq lists it as uncharacterized. The record is from RefSeq and is a predicted model, not a curated record. NCBI's taxonomy places the organism in Eukaryota, Metazoa, Chordata, Mammalia, Carnivora, Felidae. The transcript is spliced from 3 exons.
GAUGAAAAGCAAAGUGAAGUCUGUGAUUGUACCUACUUGGAGGUGAACCAAAAUAAGUGCAUCAUAGCUGUUGGAUGGGACAGAAGAAUAAAUGUGUAUUUUGAUGCACCAUGUGACUUUCAUCACUUCUGGAAGCCGCAGCCACACUGGCAGGAUGACCUGGUGAGCCCUGGUCCACACUGUCUGGCUCUCAACCCAAACAGUGGCACAUGUUGAGGAUAUCUGUCACUCAGAGGCUCACCCUGACUCUCCUGGGCCUGCCUAGGGUUGUCACAAGGACCUCAAAAGCCUCUGCUGUGGCAGGAAUCAUGACUGGGGUCCAGGUAGAGCCAGAAGUACUGGGCUCCAGGCAGCUGCUUCCCCUCCAGGAAGAGUGAUGGCCUUGUGUUCAGAUUGGGGCAUGGGGCUACGGAAGCCAAUCCAUGCAGCUCUCCAUGAGCUCAGCCAGGAUUCAUGUAGUACAGGAAUGCCAGCCCAAGAUGUGGUGGGUGUGACUUUCCUGAAAGAAGCAUGUACUUCCUAUUUCUGCUUGGCAUGCAAAAUUGUAUGCAUUUGCUGUGUCACCUUUGGGCAGCCAGGGAACCGAAGAGAUGACAUUCCUGCCCUGUGGCUUGUUGGGGGCCCACAACCGGGAUACUUCUUGUGAUUCUUAUUAGCAAAGUGCCCCAACUUUCUGCAGCCUCCUAUGGUUGAAUGACCUCCCUCAGAAUUGUCUGGAUGCCAAGCCAAUAAGACAAGUGCUAAGAAAGCAAAGUCACUGUGCCCAACCGUGUGCUACAGCUCAACCCUACCUUAAACCCCCAUAAACAUUCCAAAAGGUACAAGUCACUAGAAUACAAACUCCAUGAGGCCAGGCCUUGUCUGCCUUCACCAUGGUAUUCCCAGGACCUAGCCCAGUGCCCACUUUAUAGCAAUGCCUAAUUAAUUUGAUUCCAUUCAACUAGCAUAUGCCAAGUGCAGAUUGUGGACCAAGUGUGCUUUGUUCACUGAAGAUGAAGUUAUGAUCAAAAGGGUCAUCUCAUGAUCUCUGCCUUCCCGGAGUUCGCAGAUUAGUGAUUAUUGAGUGAAAGAACAAAGUUGUGCAGAAAAUGCCUGGAAGUGAAGGUCAUUGCAAGGAGGCAUUGUCAGGCAAGUCAGUGAAGUGUUAGUGCAUUCAAAUAUUUAUUUAUUCAACUAUUAACUCACUCAACACAUAUUUUGGGGCACUUUUAUAGUGUCAUGCUUAAUGGAUAGGGCCAGGAGAUACAACGUGAAUAAAAUGUGAUUCCUGGGGUGCCUGGGUGGCCCAGUCGGUUGAGCGUCCGACUUUGGCGCAGGUCAUGAUCUCACGGUUCGUGGGUUCGAGCCCCACAUCGAUCUCUGUGCUGACAGCUCAGAGCCUGGAGCCUACUUCGGAUUCUGUGUCUCCCCCUCUCUCUGCCCCUCCCCUGCUCAUGCUCUGUCUCUCAAGGAUAAAUAAAC